RNAcentral lists this ribosomal RNA (659 nucleotides) under uncultured bacterium. RNAcentral describes it as "bacterial SSU rRNA". It matches the Rfam family "Bacterial small subunit ribosomal RNA", at positions 8 to 677 of the family's 1533-position model. The record is from RNAcentral.
AGGGUUUGAUCAUGGCUCAGAACGAACGCUGGUGGCGUGCUUAACACAUGCAAGUCGAACGAGAAAGUUUCCUUCGGGAAAUUAGUAAAGUGGCGCAAGGGUGAGUAUCACGUGAAUAAUCUGCCCUCGAGAUCGGGAUAACAUGGUGAAAACUAUGCUAAUACCGGAUAAGACCACAUUUCAUAAGAAAUGCGGUAAAAGGAGUCUCAAUCUUCACUCGAGGAUGAGUUCGCGCAACAUUAGCUUGUUGGUGAGAUAAAAGCUCACCAAGGCUACGAUGUUUAGCCGGCCUGAGAGGGUGAUCGGCCACACUGGAACUGAGACACGGUCCAGACUCCUACGGGAGGCAGCAGUGGGGAAUAUUGCGCAAUGGGCGAAAGCCUGACGCAGCAACGCCGUGUGAGCGAUGAAGGCUUUAGGGUCGUAAAGCUCUGUCAAAUGGGAAGAAUUUUGACGGUACCAUUAGAGGAAGCCCCGGCUAACUCCGUGCCAGCAGCCGCGGUAAUACGGAGGGGGCGAGCGUUGUUCGGAAUUAUUGGGCGUAAAGCGUAUGUAGGCGGUUAAACAAGUCAGGCGUGCAAGCCCGUGGCUCAACCACGGAAUUGCGUUUGAAACUGUUUAACUUGAGUACAGGAGAGGAAAGCGGAAUUCCCAGUGUA